GAGCCACGCUGAGGGAUAUCUUAAGAACCAAUCAAAAGCGCAAGUCUGGAGCCGAAGUUGUGGGGGGAAUCGCCAAGCGUACCAGUUUUGGAGGUCACAGGUCCGCGGGGCGCAGCUAAUGGCGGAGCAAGCUGUGAGGGGAGGGUCGUCCAAUUGUCGUCAGCGUGAACGCGGGCGCCCAGUGAGUGUCUGAGAGAACCCCAACUCCAGACCCCAAAGUCUGCCCCGGCCCCGCGCCCGUCUCUGCCUCGUCGACUUUGUCUUAUACCACUUUCCCUUCCUUUUUCCCUGGGGAGUCCUUUUGGUCCCUCCCCUGCCUUUUCCCGCUCAGAAAGCCGAAUUUCGCAGAUUCUCAGCUCCGAGGAGAAAAUUUUGCCGGAAAUUAAAUCCUUCCUUCUGUUAGGCAGUAGUCGACUGAUGGGAGGAGCUAAAAGUCGCUUGGUGUCCUGACAAGAUGUGUUACUCUUUUGCUAAGAUCGUCAUCUCUAAUGCUUUGAGGGAGAUAACUUCUGCACACCUAGAACUUUCGGAUUACUACCGAGCUUGAAGAAUCUUAUUUUGGAAGAGACUUUUUGGUUUUUCUAGACAUUGGACUUUCAUGUACAGUUAAAUUUUCAAGAUAAUUUUGGAGACUAACAUGGAGUUUCUUACUUUCAUUUUUGCCAAGCAGACUGUCUUUGGACUGGAGCUGAACACCAGUUUGCCUGGGUCUCAGCCUGCCCACCUUCAGAUCAGAACUAUUUUAUCAGCUCUCGGUCUCCAGGCUGCUACUCUUCAGCGUGAAACUGAAGCAUCAGCUCCUCGUGGGUCUCCAGCUUGCCCACCCUCCCCUGCAGAUUUUGUACUUGCCAGCCUCCAUAAUCAUGUGAGCCAAUUCCUUAUGAUAAACCUCUUUCUCUAUAUAUGUAAACAUCCUACUGCUUCUGUUUCUCUGGAAAACCGUGACUAAUAUAGGGAAGUUAUUUAAUUUUCAUGUAUGUUUAAUCAUGGUAUUUUGAGUUGAGUAAAUAAGACAAUGUAUUUCUUUCAAGUGAUUAAAAAAGACACCAUCAUGUGUCACCCAAAGCAAAUUGUUGGUUCUAUUCUAAAGCUUAUAUUUUACUUCUUUUUUGUUGUUCCUUCACUGUUUUUGUUCUUUAAUUCAUUUUCUCAGAUUUGUGUUGUUAGUUUUAGAACUUGAAUUUAAUUCACUUCCACAGCUCAUCAAAUAGGUAUAUAUUUUAAGUUUCAAAUCAAGUUUUCUGCCAUAAAAGAUCAAUCUCUACUUUCAGGAUGGAAGUUCUCAAACCCAUCUUUGUACAUAAUUAUAACAAUUCUGGGGAGAGUAACAUAGAUAUGAAAGAUUAGCAUAAUAAACUAUACUUCAGUCAUCAA
This is a long non-coding RNA of Balaenoptera ricei (Rice's whale), 1374 nucleotides long. RefSeq lists it as uncharacterized. The transcript is spliced from 3 exons. The record is from RefSeq and is a predicted model, not a curated record. Lineage: Eukaryota; Metazoa; Chordata; Mammalia; Artiodactyla; Balaenopteridae.